RNAcentral lists this ribosomal RNA (120 nucleotides) under Scophthalmus maximus (turbot). The record is from RNAcentral. Lineage: Eukaryota; Metazoa; Chordata; Actinopteri; Pleuronectiformes; Scophthalmidae.
GCUUACGGCCACACCCUCUGGUUCACGCCCGAUCUUGUUUGAUCUCGGAAGCUAAGAUAGGUUGGGUCUGGUUAGUACUUGGAUGGGGAGACCGCCUAGGAAUACCAGGUGCUGUAAGCC